ACUCAUCCCCAAUUAUAAGUUCUAAAGUAUGCUCACCUGCUUAGGAACUCCUUCACAUGAUUUUUCUUGAAUUGGCUCACAAUCGCAAGUGGAGUCUGCAAGUGUUCUUUAUUGAUUUGUGAAAUUUCCAUUAAGUUCUUCAACUGAACUUUGUUAUGUGGCAUCCCAGAAUAUGAAGAUAACGGUGGGUCACUCAAUUCAUCUUCGACUUUAACUGUCUAAGGAUUGUCAGAUGAUGGAGGGGGUAUCUCAUUAGAAACGCUGUGGUAAUAGGUUGCUUUUCUGAAUUGACAUUGUUCUUUCCGGUUUGCAUACAUGAUGGGGAGAUCAUGAGUGGCAUCAACGGUUUGGGCUCGGAUGCUUAUAAUGCUGAGGGCGGCACAGAUUGGUACCGAGGCAGCGCACCUCUACUGUUUACUAGCACCUUGCGGCGGUAAGGUGCGCUAGGUACACAAGAGGAGAAGAGAGUGGCGGUCUCCUUUGCAAUCUCCUAGCCGCGAAGUGGAACGCCUGUCGCUUGGAGUGUUUGAGCAGGAGGAAAGGAGCAAUGGAGAUCGGAGUACAGUACCAGGCGAGCACCCUCCAAGGAGCACCAGAAUAUCUAUCCUGAGUUGUUUUCCUUCAAAGGUACAGGUACGAGAACCUGAUCAAUAAGACAUUGAUUCAGAUCUAAGUCAUCAAAGAAAGAUAAACUUUGGGAAUUAGCCGUCAAGGUAAAAGUGCUUCAUACAUGAGAAGGAGGUGAAGUGGGGUGAGGUGAACCUUUGAUGUAUACUUCAAAGCUUUAGGGAAAGUGCAUGUUAAGUUUGGAUACUUUAUCAGGUUAAUUUAAUAACAUGUUAGUUGGUCUGCAUUUGAAUGUGUUGAUAAAUAGACUAGAGCCAAGAAUUGAAAGAGUAGUUGUUGUCAUGGUAAAAUUUAGCAUUUUUUUAUUUGUGAGCUUUAGCAUUCUGAAGUCCUCUAUUUUGUAGUACACCAGGUGGAUGAAAUAAUUAUUGCGCUAGGUAGUUAUGUCUCUUUGGUAUUGGGUUUAUGAAAGAUAAUCAACUAACCUUCUGUAUAUUCAGAAGUUUGUCUCAAAAGUUGCUAUCUGGGUGUGUUUAUGCUUUAGCGGUGUUCUCAAAAAGGUCUUUAUUUCAGUUUAUUGCCCUCUAUUUUCGACAUCCAGGUUCGUGUUUAUACACUCUUGUUUGGCUUAUAUGUUACAAUUCAAUGUUCAUUAAUUUUCUGCUACUGCUGCUGUAAAAUAGACAAGCUAGAGUCAAACCAGCUUAGAUUUAGUAGAAUAAUUAGUUUUUAUUAUUUUCUUUGGUUGCAGAUUCUGUUUUCAUACUGUGCUGCUCUGUAAUGUUUCUUGCAAGUGUGAAAUGAUGAUCGAUGCUGUUUUGGCAUUACAGAACUAGGAUGAAACCAAGGUUGUGUACAUCUAACAUUAGGCUGAGAUGGAUCUUCUUUUCUUUAAGUUGCUGCCUAGAUAGUUACUGAGCUGACGGAGGAAUUCCAUGGUGCAUGUACCCAAGGACUCCUCUUCAGGUUACGCGGUUGAAGACUGUGUACCACAUUUCAGCCUCAACUUGAUGAGUUUGUGUUUCUGAAAUGAUUUUGUCUCCUUACAUACUUUAAAUUUCUUUGUUGCUCAGUAUGUUUGUUCAAUAUUAAUACAUGUUGUUUCCAUAAGCAAGUUUGACGACUUGAUUCCCUCGUGUGUAGUGUAGCGAGUUUUUCGUUAUUGCAGAAACAAAAGAAACAUGCUUGAGACCUCGGUAGUAAAGAUUAUUAUUUUUUACUUUGUGCUAAAAACGUGGUAUUAUCAUUUCAAUGGGUGUGUAGUUCAGGACAUAUUUCUACGAGAGAGAGGUCUGUGAUGUAUGCAAGGCAAAAGCAGAAGAUGAAAAAUUUGCUUGCAUCCUCUAGCUGCGCAAACUGGCAAAUGUCAGCUACAGGUAAUGUUACAUCCUAUGUAUGGCUGAAUUAACUCUCUUUACCUAAGAGAAUGCUGGUCGACAUUGUUGAGUAGUAAAUGGACUUGAUCGUGCUUAUAUCACAAACAAACAUGACUACCGCUAACUAUAUGUUACACCAGUUAUUCUUUUAUCGUUGCUGAAGUUAAUUGAUUUUGAUACGGCAAUCCAUAGCCUCCCCUCUGAUUUGAUCACACAUCUUUUUCUGAAAGCUUGAAGUAUUUGACUUUAUUUGGUCCAUUGAAUUUGACGUAGAACAAAAAAGUCCAUUGAAUUGUUCUUUUCCUUAAUCUUUCGCAGCUUAUGUAUACUGGUAUAGAUAGAUUUGAACACCACAUCCAUUGCUAGGUACCAUGCACUUUUGAUUCCAGCUAAAGCUAUAUUAUUGUGUUCUCUAUUGUUUUGCGGGAAUAUAGUAUUGUGUUCUCUAUUCAUUGAAGAUGCUCCAGUGAGUCACUGAACCACUCUGGAUACAUCUUUCGUUUCAUAGGUAAAUAUUUAUGGAAUUAUAUGCUCCGGUCACAUGCAACUAUACGGUAGCCCGACACUUCCACAUAGUCCACUAUAUUAGAAGAUGUGAAGGUGCAGCACAAAAACUUGUUCUCAUGUGUGAUGUCUAAUUGUCAAGUAAUGGAGACGAGAAGCAAGCAUGGCUGCUCUUGAGCUCGCUAAAAUUUCUAGAUUGUGUGCCCUUAAUGGUUUUCUAAUAAAUUGCCAACUAUAAGAGGCGAAAUUCCCACUCUGUGAUCGAAAUAAAGCUGAUUCUUUCUAUGGAAAUUAAUUAGCACUUUUGCAUUUAAUUUGUAUCAUAAAUUAUUUUAGGGCGUCAUACUAUGAAUGCAGAUUUGGUGCACAUGGGCACCACUGCUCUCAGUUUUUAAAAUAUUUAAAACUGUACAUCUGCGUUUUAAAAAAUUGUCACAUUUAUUCCAUGAAUACAUACACAUGUCCUGAAUAUUUGUGUGAAGUUUCGGUAAAAAUUGCAUUGUAUUUUGAGCUACAGGAAAAAAACAAAUUUGUGGCUACCUACAUGGGUAGAUAUUUGUCAGAAAUUUGUUUUUUUGUAUAGCUCAAAAUACAACAUAUUUUUUCUCCAAAUUUCUUACCGUACCUUCUGAAUAUUUAUAUAUAUGUGUGUCUUUUUUUAAAUCCAAAAGGUAUAAUAUUUUUAAAUCAGGAGCACUGGUGCUCUUGUGUCAAAGACACUUUUCGGUCAUACUAUUGAACUUUUUGUCAGUCCAUUCUUCUAUAUGUGUAGCCAUUUAUGCAGUUCUGUUCGUAAGAUUGUGCAAUACUCUACUUGACACUUUGAAUAGGAAAUUGCAAACCGUCCAAUUUAUUCAAAUAUUUAUAUGGUCCAGAUUCCAGAAAUAUUGAUUUUCUUUCUAUAAGAUGGAUGGGCUCGAAAA
Long non-coding RNA from Lolium rigidum, 3370 nucleotides. RefSeq lists it as uncharacterized. The transcript is spliced from 4 exons. The record is from RefSeq and is a predicted model, not a curated record. NCBI's taxonomy places the organism in Eukaryota, Viridiplantae, Streptophyta, Magnoliopsida, Poales, Poaceae.